GGUGCUGUAGCUCAGUGGGUAGAGUGUUUGCCUAGUANGCAAGAAGCCUGGGUUCCAUCCCUUGCAUCUCAU
This is a transfer RNA of Neotoma lepida (desert woodrat), 72 nucleotides long. It matches the Rfam family "tRNA". From Rfam's summary of the family: Transfer RNA (tRNA) molecules are approximately 80 nucleotides in length. Their secondary structure includes four short double-helical elements and three loops (D, anti-codon, and T loops). NCBI's taxonomy places the organism in Eukaryota, Metazoa, Chordata, Mammalia, Rodentia, Cricetidae. The record is from Rfam.